RNAcentral lists this long non-coding RNA (2358 nucleotides) under Eutrema salsugineum. RNAcentral's name for it is "long non-coding RNA (ESAL_LNC001068)". Lineage: Eukaryota; Viridiplantae; Streptophyta; Magnoliopsida; Brassicales; Brassicaceae. The record is from RNAcentral.
GGUAACAUUUUUUACCGUUUGAAUAAUUUUUUUAAUUAAAAAAAUCAGAUAAUGACUCUCUAUAAGUACUCCUUAUCAUCGGUCAAAAAUCUGCAUCCUCUUACUUGAUUUAUUUCUUACAAAUGUCGACUACAAUCUUUUUUUUCUUUCUUUUCCUUAGUUCUGUUCUUCCACUGGAGUUGAGUUCUCACUCAAUAUCUAUAUUUCUCAUUAGCCCAGAGAAGCAAACAUAAGCCCUCAUACAAGGUAAAAUACUCUGGUCUAAUUGCUCUAGUUUGUUUACUAUUAAGUGGUUUUUGUUGGUUUGAUUACCUGUUCUUUAUCUUUUAAACAUCUUUUAUGGGAUUGAACAUAAAAAUUCAAAACUCUGCUUUAAAUCCAUGUUAUAUAUAUUUAUGUAUUUACGUAAACUAGCUCAUAAAACUGAUUUUUAGCUUUUUUCCUCUUUUUUUUGUAAAUCCAUUUUAGCUUUACAUCUUUUUUUUUAAAAAAAAAACUGAUUUUUAGCUAUAUAUUUGUGUUUGAUGACCUGUUUUUUUUAGCUAGAAAUAUAUGUUCUGGUCUAAGAAAAUAUAGAGAGUUAAGUUUUUUUUUUUUUUAUGAGAAACUAAGAAAGAAUGGUUUAAAAUUAGAUGAUUUUUGAUUUUUGUUUUUUUUAUAUUUGUGUAAAUACAUAUGCAUGUACCAAAAUUGACAAACAGAAAAACCGAUCGUAAUGAACACUGAUUUUGUUUACCAUUAAGUGGUUUUUGUUAGUUUGAGUACCUGUUCUUUAUCUUUUAAACAUCUUUUAUGGGAUUGAACAUAAAAAAUCAAAUGCUCUGUUUUAAAUUGCUCAUAAAAAUCAGUCUUUACUGAACAUAAAAAUCAGUCUUUACUUAAACUAGCUCAUAAAACUGAUUUUUAGCUUGUUUUCCUCUUUUUUUUUGAAAAUCCAUUUUAGCUUUUCAUCUUUUUUUUUUAGAACUGAUUUUUAGCUAUAUAUUUGUGUUUGAUGACCUGUAUUUUUUAGCUAGAAAUAUAUGUUCUGUCUAAGAAAAUAUAGAGUUAUGAAAAACUAAGAAAGAAUGGGUUUAAAAUUAGAUGAUUUUUGAUUUUUUUUUUUUAAUAUAUUUGUGUAUAUCAAAAUUGACAAACAGAAAAACCGAUCGUAAUGAAAAAAGCCUGAUUUUGAUUUAUUAAUUUUGCAGAGGGUUGAAGGGAAAAAAACCUUAAGACCGUGCCCACUGCCCAGCGUUUUCCAUCUUCUGCUUUGCCCAGCCUUUGAAGUUGACCAGACUAUAAUGUAGCAAUAUUUGUAUCUCAUUUUUUCUGAUAAAGAUACAUGAAUGUAUGUAGAGUGUGAGAUGAGAAUGGAUGAUGUAUAGAUAUGUAUAGGGGGUGAACUUAGUAUGUAUGUAUACGGUAUGAAUCAUGAAUGUAUAGAUGUAUGUAUAGGGUAUGAAUGUAUAGAUGUAUGCAUAGAGUGUGAAUGUUAUAUGGAUGUAUAGGGUGUGAAUGUAUAGAUGUAUGUAUAGGGUAUGAAAGUAUAGGAUGUGAAUGUAUAGAUGUAUGUAUAGGCUGCACAGAUAUGCGUGUGGAUGAGCGAAGUUGUAGUAGAACGAGGUACAAAAAUUACUAGCACCGAUCCUAAUCGCCAAAAACAACACAAAAGAAAAGAAAAACAAACACUAAAUGGCAAAGACAAGGAACAAGACAAGGAACACCAAAUAUUCAAAGGCACGUCGAAAUACUGGUCGAAACACCAAAUAAUAUAAAUUGGCAAGGAGAAUGUAAUGAAAUUAACAAGACAAGUGCCGAAAACGGAAAACCGAAGGAUUGCUAGUCGAAAAUAGGCAGAAAACAAAACAAAGGGACAUACAAAAUAGUAAAAUACGCUAAAAACGGCACACUCAAAACUCAAAAGGAACACGCAAAAAAAUUGCCAAAAGUGUUGAAAAAGCAAAAAGAAAAAAACAAGCAGAGUAUGCCAAACGGUAAAAACGCAUAAGCUUCCAAAUUUAAAAAAAAAAACAAAAAAAAACAAGCUGAUGGACUCAAAUAGCAAACGGAAGAUCUCCAAACAUGCAACUGGAAUGCGAAGAGAAUGGAUAAGUUUGAUGGUCCAUCGCAUGAUUUAUUUACUGGUUUUUUAUCCAAUUUAUUUAGCUGUUUACUAUUUAUGUUAUCAUUUUUAUUUCCUGCCCUUUUGAUUUUGGAAAUGUUUUUAGAAAGCUUUUCGAAGAUAAAAACUGAAAAAUGGCCUGCUGAUUCAACCCUAACGACGACAAUAGCUAUCUAAAUAUUUUGCAGAAUUCUUCUAACUUGGUUCUAAAUAUUUUUUUUUUCUAUAUCUUAAAGACUUAAACUAGGAAAAAG